CCUUCGAUAGCUCAGUUGGUAGAGCGGUGGACUGUAGUUGGAAAGUUAAAAAUAUACGGACAUCCAUAGGUCGCUGGUUCGAAUCCGGCUCGAAGGA
This 97-nucleotide transfer RNA is filed under the name Apis mellifera (honey bee). It matches the Rfam family "tRNA". Rfam says of the family: Transfer RNA (tRNA) molecules are approximately 80 nucleotides in length. Their secondary structure includes four short double-helical elements and three loops (D, anti-codon, and T loops). Further hydrogen bonds mediate the characteristic L-shaped molecular structure. tRNAs have two regions of fundamental functional importance: the anti-codon, which is responsible for specific mRNA codon recognition, and the 3' end, to which the tRNAs corresponding amino acid is attached (by aminoacyl-tRNA synthetases). tRNAs cope with the degeneracy of the genetic code in two manners: having more than one tRNA (with a specific anti-codon) for a particular amino acid; and 'wobble' base-pairing, i.e. permitting non-standard base-pairing at the 3rd anti-codon position. Lineage: Eukaryota; Metazoa; Arthropoda; Insecta; Hymenoptera; Apidae. The record is from Rfam by way of RNAcentral.